UACGUAGGGUCCGAGCGUUGUCCGGAAUUAUUGGGCGUAAAGGGCUCGUAGGCGGUCCGUCACGUCGGGAGUGAAAACUCAGGGCUCAACCCUGAGCGUGCUUCCGAUACGGGCGGACUAGAGGUAUGCAGGGGAGAACGGAAUUCCUGGUGUAGCGGUGAAAUGCGCAGAUAUCACAAGGAACACCAACGGCGAAGGCAGCACUCUGGGCCGGUACUGACGCUGAGGAGCGAAAGCGUGGGGAGCAAACAGG
RNAcentral lists this ribosomal RNA (253 nucleotides) under uncultured bacterium. RNAcentral's name for it is "partial 16S ribosomal RNA". It matches the Rfam family "Bacterial small subunit ribosomal RNA", at positions 524 to 776 of the family's 1533-position model. The record is from RNAcentral.